GGGAAUAUUGCUUAAUGGGCGAAAGCCUGAAGCAGCAACGCCGCGUGAACGAAGAAGGCCUUCGGGUCGUAAAGUUCUUUUACGUGGGAUGAGGAAGGACAGUACCACGAGAAUAAGUCUCGGCUAACUACGUGCCAGCAGCCGCGGUAAAACGUAGGAGACGAGCGUUAUCCGGAUUUACUGGGCGUAAAGCGCGUGUAGGAGGCGCUACAAGUUGGAUGUGAAAGCUCCCGGCUUAACUGGGAGAGGUCAUUCAAGACUGUAGUGAUAGAGUGAGGCAGACGGGGAAGGAACGCCGGGAGUAGUGGUGAAGUGCGUAGAUAGCCGGAAGAACACCAGAGGAGAAAGGGAUGUAGUGGGCCUAAACUGACGCUGAGACGCGA
This 383-nucleotide ribosomal RNA is filed under the name uncultured bacterium. Its description in RNAcentral is "bacterial SSU rRNA". It matches the Rfam family "Bacterial small subunit ribosomal RNA", at positions 357 to 756 of the family's 1533-position model. The record is from RNAcentral.